Molecule: ribosomal RNA, 253 nt
Filed under: uncultured bacterium
Lineage: Bacteria
Description: partial 16S ribosomal RNA
Rfam family: Bacterial small subunit ribosomal RNA
Source: RNAcentral
UACGAAGGGGGCUAGCGUUGUUCGGAAUUACUGGGCGUAAAGCGCGCGCAGGCGGCUCUUCAAGUCAGGGGUGAAAGCCCAGAGCUCAACUCUGGAACUGCCUUUGAGACUGAAGAGCUUGAGUACGGGAGAGGUGAGUGGAAUUCCCAGUGUAGAGGUGAAAUUCGUAGAUAUUGGGAGGAACACCAGUGGCGCAAGCGGCUAUCUGGACUGACAUUGACGCUGAGGCACGAAAGCGUGGGGAUCAAACAGG